CCAGCCGUGUUUCUUCAGAAUUUAGGGUUCAUCACGUUUUUUGUUCUACGCCGUUUGAAAGCUUGAGAUGCUGGACUCGACGUGAGGAAUCUAUUCGAUAGGUUUCGAUCGCGUCAUUUGAUCUUCCAGGAUGGUGUAUAAGACGAAUCGUCAUGAGGCAUCUCUGGUCGAGUUUCAUUGGUGUCGUUUCAUUUGAGGUUCUUCUCCUCUGAAACUAGGUUUGGGAUCCAUUGAAGUCUCCAUAAACAACCAUCUUUACUUCUUCGACUACAACAUAAGCUUAUUAUCUCUCUUCAGGAGACAUGGCCAAAGCCAUAACUGUGAACUCCUUCAGAUCUUACUCUGUCCGACAGAUCUUCCGAGCAUCUCACGGUUUCGGCGAUUCUUGCUUGGCUUAACAAUAGCGGCAGUGAAGAUGGCGGUUCUUGCUUGGCUCAAAGGCGGGGAUUGGAGCAUGGUGAAUCGAGAGUGGUUCGGGCAGGACGAGGUUUGGCUUAAAGCUCCGAUGAGGCGAUGCUGAUAAUAGUGACAUCCAGUGAUUUUGGUUACUUACUCUGAACAUUACCAGGAUCCUUCUGAUGUAUCUACAGGUUUGUUCAGUGGGCUCAGCGAGCAAUCGAUACAUCACAUGUUGAAGCAGCGAGUAAUGAGAAUGGUAUUGGUUUUGUUAAGCUUAUGGAUGUUACAGUGGUAAGUUUUUCUCUUCGUGUGUUUCUGCUUAGAAAAUUAGUGUUAAAAGACUUUUUGAGCUGUUAAUGACUAAUAGCUAUUCGAUGAUUUACAACAUGAUUCAUAGCGCUGUAUAAUAUAAGCUAGCAGAGAUGUCAAUUGCUCAUUACUCUUGAGUCAGCAUUUUGUCUCGAAUGGAAAAGGUGGACUCUUGGAGUUCAUUGAGAAACGGAUCAAGGUGAAUGGUCACAAGGUGAUUGUUCUUGCUGAAGAAGCAGAGCGAGAAUUGAUGUGCAAAAGCAUGGAAUCUAACAGACGCCUCUGAUAACAAGCUUCUUAAAGAUUUCGCUUUUGGCUACCACAAAGCAUCAAGAAAACCAAGUUAAGAAAGAAACGAAGAAAGUUAGGCUGAUAAUUUGAAUCAUUCUUGCGAUGCCACCAAGUACGAGACAGAGCUGCGUUACGACGCGAAUGUUACGGGCAUGAUAAGUUAUACCCACAUCGGUGAAUUGUCAGGAAUAUCGGCGUACAAGAGCUGUUUCUGUGCUUUCCGGUUAAAGGAAUCAAAGUUGACGUGGCUCUGGUCUUAUAUACUUCGACAUUGUGUUGUUCGCGAGCAAUACUCACUCUUCUCUUUGUUCAAUACAUUGAAAGAUUGUGUUGCUGUUCGUGGUGAAAAAUCAGGGAUUAAGUAUUAUUAAGAUUGCUAGAUGAAGUUUGAGUAUUGAUCUCUCUUUCAUAUGAAUUUCUUUCUAAGUAACUCAGAUGUGUUUUAGUAUGAAGUUUAUGGAAAGUGUGUCCAUAUGAUGAUAACUCAGAUGUGAAACCAAAGAUAAUAUUAUGUAUAUU
Long non-coding RNA from Brassica oleracea var. oleracea, 1518 nucleotides. RefSeq lists it as uncharacterized. NCBI's taxonomy places the organism in Eukaryota, Viridiplantae, Streptophyta, Magnoliopsida, Brassicales, Brassicaceae. The record is from RefSeq and is a predicted model, not a curated record. The transcript is spliced from 4 exons.